AACGAACGCUGGCGGCAUGCCUAACACAUGCAAGUCGAACGAGACCUUCGGGUCUAGUGGCGCACGGGUGCGUAACGCGUGGGAACCUGCCCUUAGGUUCGGAAUAACUCCCCGAAAGGGGUGCUAAUACCGGAUAAUGUCUUCGGACCAAAGAUUUAUCGCCUUUGGAUGGGCCCGCGUUGGAUUAGCUAGUUGGUAGGGUAAAAGCCUACCAAGGCGACGAUCCAUAGCUGGUCUGAGAGGAUGAUCAGCCACACUGGGACUGAGACACGGCCCAGACACCUCCGGGAGGCGGCAGGGGGGAAUAUUGGCAAAUGGGCGAAAGCCUGAUCCAGCCAUGCCGCGUGAGGAAGGAAGGCCUUAGGGUUGAAAAGCCCUUUUCCCCGGGUUGUAAAGGACGGUACCGGGAGAAUAAGCCCCGGCUAACCCCG
This 431-nucleotide ribosomal RNA is filed under the name uncultured bacterium. RNAcentral's name for it is "partial 16S ribosomal RNA". It matches the Rfam family "Bacterial small subunit ribosomal RNA", at positions 29 to 505 of the family's 1533-position model. The record is from RNAcentral.